AGGAUGAACGCUGGCGGCGUGCUUAACACAUGCAAGUCGAACGGUGAAGGAGAGCUUGCUCUCCGGAUCAGUGGCGAACGGGUGAGUAACACGUGAGCAAUCUGCCCCUGACUCUGGGAUAAGCGUUGGAAACGACGUCUAAUACCGGAUACGAGCUGCGAAGGCAUCUUCAGCAGCUGGAAAGAACUUCGGUCAGGGAUGAGCUCGCGGCCUAUCAGCUAGUUGGUGAGGUAAUGGCUCACCAAGGCGUCGACGGGUAGCCGGCCUGAGAGGGUGACCGGCCACACUGGGACUGAGACACGGCCCAGACU
Molecule: ribosomal RNA, 311 nt
Filed under: uncultured soil bacterium
Lineage: Bacteria
Description: bacterial SSU rRNA
Rfam family: Bacterial small subunit ribosomal RNA
Source: RNAcentral